CCUACGGGAGGCAGCAGUAAGGAAUAUUGGUCAAUGGACGAAAGUCUGAACCAGCCAUGCCGCGUGAAGGAUUAAGGCCCUCUGGGUUGUAAACUUCUUUUAUCUGGGACGAAAAAAGGGUAUUCUUACUCACUUGACGGUACCAGAGGAAUAAGCACCGGCUAACUCCGUGCCAGCAGCCGCGGUAAUACGGAGGGUGCAAGCGUUAUCCGGAUUUACUGGGUUUAAAGGGUGCGUAGGUGGGCUUGUAAGUCAGUGGUGAAAUCUCCGGGCUUAACCCGGAAACUGCCAUUGAUACUAUAGGUCUUGAAUUAUCUGGAGGUAAGCGGAAUAUGUCAUGUAGCGGUGAAAUGCUUAGAUAUGACAUAGAACACCAAUUGCGAAGGCAGCUUACUACGGAUAUAUUGACACUGAGGCACGAAAGCGUGGGGAUCAAACAGGAUUAGAUACCCUGGUAGUCCACGCCCUAAACGAUGGAUACUCGACAUCAGCGAUACACUGUUGGUGUCUGAGCGAAAGCAUUAAGUAUCCACCUGGGAAGUACGAUCGCAAGAUUGAAACUCAAAUGAAAUUGACGG
This 578-nucleotide ribosomal RNA is filed under the name uncultured bacterium. RNAcentral's name for it is "bacterial SSU rRNA". It matches the Rfam family "Bacterial small subunit ribosomal RNA", at positions 338 to 916 of the family's 1533-position model. The record is from RNAcentral.